UACGUAGGGUGCAAGCGUUAAUCGGAAUUACUGGGCGUAAAGCGUGCGCAGGCGGCUUUGCAAGUCAGAUGUGAAAUCCCCGGGCUUAACCUGGGAACUGCAUUUGUGACUGCAUGGCUGGAGUGCGGCAGAGGGGGAUGGAAUUCCGCGUGUAGCAGUGAAAUGCGUAGAGAUGUGGAGGAAUACCAAUGGCGAAGGCAGCCCCCUGGGAUAAUAUUGACGCUCAUGCACGAAAGCGUGGGGAGCAAACAGG
This 253-nucleotide ribosomal RNA is filed under the name uncultured bacterium. RNAcentral's name for it is "partial 16S ribosomal RNA". It matches the Rfam family "Bacterial small subunit ribosomal RNA", at positions 524 to 776 of the family's 1533-position model. The record is from RNAcentral.